Molecule: ribosomal RNA, 253 nt
Filed under: uncultured bacterium
Lineage: Bacteria
Description: partial 16S ribosomal RNA
Rfam family: Bacterial small subunit ribosomal RNA
Source: RNAcentral
UACGUAGGGUGCGAGCGUUGUCCGGAAUUAUUGGGCGUAAAGGGCUCGUAGGCGGUUUGUCGCGUCGGGAGUGAAAUCCACUGGCUUAACUGGUGGCUUGCUUUCGAUACGGGCAGACUGGAGGUAUGCAGGGGAGAACGGAAUUCCUGGUGUAGCGGUGAAAUGCGCAGAUAUCAGGAGGAACACCGGUGGCGAAGGCGGUUCUCUGGGCAUGUCCUGACGCUGAGGAGCGAAAUUGUGGGGAGCGAACAGG